CAGUGGUUAUGUAUGGUUGGCUGGUGCGCCGUUCGUUCGUGUUGUAUGUGUGCUUAUACGUGAAUACGUUGAGUCUUCUACACUGCAGGUGUUGAGCUCGUCUUCAGUUGUCCUCUAGACAAGGUGCGGCCAGAAGACACUGCAUAGGACACCACAAUCGACAGGUGAGCGGUUCAUGAUCUGCCAAAGAUAGUGAGUCUGGCAACGGGACGAAUUAAUGUAAG
Molecule: long non-coding RNA, 224 nt
Filed under: Homarus americanus (American lobster)
Lineage: Eukaryota; Metazoa; Arthropoda; Malacostraca; Decapoda; Nephropidae
Description: uncharacterized LOC121866123, transcript variant X2
Source: RNAcentral